CUGAGUUCAGGGCAGAGACUCCUUAUCAUCAGUCCUGUUCCACCUGAUGCAUGCACUUGAAGAGCUGCAUGUGAACUGGGCCUUUAUUUAACACUGACCCUCUGCUAAUAAUCGGGAAAUGGAAGAUGGUGUAAAGCACCAAUGCAUCAGCUGACACCGUAAACCAUAAGUGCAAAGCUUGUGUCUGUCGUGAAAGGUAGUUACUACAUUCCUGGGCUGUGGAGUAUUGCUAACAGAAUAUCUGACAAAGAGCCUCAAACAUCCUGCAGCCCCUGUACAUUUCCUUUGAUCAGUAUUUCCCAGUUUAUAAAUCAGGACAGGAAAAGAGAAAGACCACAUAAGUUGAUAUUUAUUGGCAAGUGUAUGAAUGUUGCACAUACCUGGGGCAGGAUUUUCCCAUUGGCG
Molecule: long non-coding RNA, 405 nt
Organism: Carcharodon carcharias (great white shark)
Lineage: Eukaryota; Metazoa; Chordata; Chondrichthyes; Lamniformes; Lamnidae
Exons: 3
Source: RefSeq, a predicted model, not a curated record